This 399-nucleotide transfer-messenger RNA is filed under the name Bacteroidia bacterium. It matches the Rfam family "transfer-messenger RNA". From Rfam's summary of the family: Bacterial tmRNA, also known as 10Sa RNA or SsrA, is named for its dual tRNA and mRNA-like properties. Its role is to liberate the mRNA from a stalled ribosome. To accomplish this part of the tmRNA is used as a reading frame that ends in a translation stop signal. Lineage: Bacteria; Pseudomonadati; Bacteroidota; Bacteroidia. The record is from RNAcentral.
GGGGUCGUUUGGAUUUGACAACAAAUACGAUGGGUUGUCAGCAUGCAGAGCCUUGUACGGCAGGCUCUUAAAUCAAUGACGUGCAAGCCAUAAUUGGCGAAUAUCAAUAUGCACUCGCUGCGUAGAAUUACUAUGUGAUUCUUGCUUAAUCCGCUGCCGUAGAGUGGUAGCCGACGAGUAUCCCGCUCAUUUUUCUGCCCAUAAAAAUGAGCAUCAUGGGGUAUCGUAAUUUGGGAUAGUUGCCUCCGACGCCUUUGAGAGCAGCGAAAAUUUAAAGGCUACGGACAUGGGUUGUGCGCGUUGCCACUGCCAAUGCCCCGACAAUUAAAGCAACGCUAAGCAUGUAGAAAGCAAUUGAUUGGUUUGUAUGGACGCGGGUUCGACUCCCGCCGACUCCAC